Molecule: ribosomal RNA, 515 nt
Filed under: uncultured archaeon
Lineage: Archaea
Description: bacterial SSU rRNA
Rfam family: Archaeal small subunit ribosomal RNA
Source: RNAcentral
AACCUUUACACUGCACGCCAGUGCGAUAAGGGGAUCCCGAGUACGCAGGCAUAGAGCCUGCGCUUUUCUGAACCGUAGGAAGGUUCAGGAACAAGAGCUGGGCAAGACCGGUGCCAGCCGCCGCGGUAAUACCGGCAGCUCGAGUGAUGGCCGAUCUUAUUGGGCCUAAAGCGUCCGUAGCUGGCCUUGCAAGUCCGUCGGGAAAUCCACCCGCUCAACGGGUGGGCGUCCGGCGGAAACUGCAAGGCUUGGGACCGGGAGGCUUGAAGGGUACGUCCGGGGUAGGAGUGAAAUCCCGUAAUCCUGGAUGGACCGCCGAUGGGGAAACCACUUCAAGAGAACGGAUCCGACAGUGAGGGACGAAAGCUAGGGUCUCGAACCGGAUUAGAUACCCGGGUAGUCCUAGCUGUAAACGAUGCCUGUUAGGUGUGACUCCCACUACGAGUGGGUGUUGUGCCGUAGGGAAGCCGCUAAACAGGCCGCCUGGGAAGUACGUCUGCAAGGAUGAAACUUAA